RNAcentral lists this ribosomal RNA (991 nucleotides) under Chryseobacterium sp. RNAcentral's name for it is "bacterial SSU rRNA". It matches the Rfam family "Bacterial small subunit ribosomal RNA", at positions 36 to 1034 of the family's 1533-position model. The record is from RNAcentral. Lineage: Bacteria; Pseudomonadati; Bacteroidota; Flavobacteriia; Flavobacteriales; Weeksellaceae.
CGGGAUGCGGGAGCUACACAUGCAGCCGAGCGGUAGAGUUCCUUCGGGGACUUGAGAGCGGCGCACGGGUGCGGAACACGUGUGCAACCUGCCUUUAUCUGGGGGAUAGCCUUUCGAAAGGAAGAUUAAUACCCCAUAAUAUUUAGAAUGGCAUCAUUUUAAAUUGAAAACUCCGGUGGAUAGAGAUGGGCACGCGCAAGAUUAGAUAGUUGGUGAGGUAACGGCUCACCAAGUCUGCGAUCUUUAGGGGGCCUGAGAGGGUGAUCCCCCACACUGGUACUGAGACACGGACCAGACUCCUACGGGAGGCAGCAGUGAGGAAUAUUGGACAAUGGGUGAGAGCCUGAUCCAGCCAUCCCGCGUGAAGGACGACGGCCCUAUGGGUUGUAAACUUCUUUUGUAUAGGGAUAAACCUACUCUCGUGAGAGUAGCUGAAGGUACUAUACGAAUAAGCACCGGCUAACUCCGUGCCAGCAGCCGCGGUAAUACGGAGGGUGCAAGCGUUAUCCGGAUUUAUUGGGUUUAAAGGGUCCGUAGGCUGAUGUGUAAGUCAGUGGUGAAAUCUCACAGCUUAACUGUGAAACUGCCAUUGAUACUGCAUGUCUUGAGUGUUGUUGAAGUAGCUGGAAUAAGUAGUGUAGCGGUGAAAUGCAUAGAUAUUACUUAGAACACCAAUUGCGAAGGCAGGUUACUAAGCAACAACUGACGCUGAUGGACGAAAGCGUGGGGAGCGAACAGGAUUAGAUACCCUGGUAGUCCACGCCGUAAACGAUGCUAACUCGUUUUUGGGAUGUAAAUUUCAGAGACUAAGCGAAAGUGAUAAGUUAGCCACCUGGGGAGUACGAACGCAAGUUUGAAACUCAAAGGAAUUGACGGGGGCCCGCACAAGCGGUGGAUUAUGUGGUUUAAUUCGAUGAUACGCGAGGAACCUUACCAAGGCUUAAAUGGGAAUUGAUCGGUUUAGAAAUAGACCUUCCUUCGGGCAAUUUUC